RNAcentral lists this ribosomal RNA (254 nucleotides) under uncultured bacterium. Its description in RNAcentral is "partial 16S ribosomal RNA". It matches the Rfam family "Bacterial small subunit ribosomal RNA", at positions 524 to 776 of the family's 1533-position model. The record is from RNAcentral.
UACGUAGGGUGCGAGCGUUGUCCGGAAUUACUGGGCGUAAAGAGCUCGUAGGCGGUGUGUCACGUCGGCCGUGAAAACCUGGGGCUUAACUCUGGGCGUGCGGUCGAUACGGGCAUCACUAGAGUUCGGCAGGGGAGACUGGAAUUCCUGGUGUAGCGGUGAAAUGCGCAGAUAUCAGGAGGAACACCGGUGGCGAAGGCGGGUCUCUGGGCCGAUACUGACGCUGAGGAGCGAAAGCGUGGGGAGCAAACAGG